GACGAACGCUGGCGGCGUGCUUAACACAUGCAAGUCGAACGGAAAGUCUCUGCCUUUGUGGGGUGCUCGAGUGGCGAACGGGUGAGUAACACGUGAGUAACCUGCCCUUGACUGUGGGAUAACUUCAGGAAACUCGGGCUAAUACCGGAUAUGAGCCCCCGCUGCAUGGUGGGGGUUGGAAAUUUUCGGCGGUUGGGGAUGGACCCGCCGCUUAUCAGCUUGUUGGUGGGGUAGUGGCCUACCAAGGCUUUGAUGAGUAGCCCGCCUGCGAGGGUGCCCGGCCACAGUAGCACAGAGGCACGGCCCAGACUCCUACGGGGGGCAGCACUGGGAAAUAUUGCACAAUCCGUGGAAGCCUGGUGCAGCAACGCCGCGUGCGGGAUGAACGCCUUCGGCUCGUAACCCGCUUUCGCCUGGGACGAACCGUGGGUGCCGGUACUGGGUAAAGAAGCACCGGCUAACUACGUG
This 468-nucleotide ribosomal RNA is filed under the name uncultured bacterium. RNAcentral's name for it is "partial 16S ribosomal RNA". It matches the Rfam family "Bacterial small subunit ribosomal RNA", at positions 28 to 507 of the family's 1533-position model. The record is from RNAcentral.